Molecule: ribosomal RNA, 444 nt
Filed under: Triticum aestivum (bread wheat)
Lineage: Eukaryota; Viridiplantae; Streptophyta; Magnoliopsida; Poales; Poaceae
Description: partial small subunit ribosomal RNA
Source: RNAcentral
AUGUGUGGCACCGUGGCCGCGCCCAGCUCGCCGGCGCCUCGCGGCUCCUCGCCGCGCACACUCCCACUUCCUUCUCCCCAAAAUUUCCCCCAACAAAGCAAGCCACCUUCAGCUCUGCCUCCGAAUGCCUUCUUCAUAGACGUGCCCGAGCCCGUCGCGAUGGCCAUCGUCGUGUCCCGCGCGGUGCUGCUGGCGGCCGUCGCAUCGCUCGCAUGUCUCGCCUACGCGGAGCCACCUCCGAGCGAGCGGUCCGCGCUGCUGGCGUUCCUCAUGGCCGUGCCCCACGAGCGGAGGCUCGGCUGGAACACCUCCACGCCGGCCUGCGCCUGGGUCGGGGUCACGUGCGACGCCGCCCAGUCCACCAUCGUUCAGCUACGCCUCCCGGGGGUCGGCCUCGUCGGCGCCAUCCCACCGGAAGGACAUGCUCGAACUAGAACAUGGUGA